GCCGCUUUAGCUCAGCAGGUAGAGCGCAUCCAUGGUAAGGAUGAGGUCACCGGUUCAAGCCCGGUAAGUGGCU
RNAcentral lists this transfer RNA (73 nucleotides) under Alkalibacterium subtropicum. RNAcentral's name for it is "tRNA_Thr_GGT". It matches the Rfam family "tRNA". From Rfam's summary of the family: Transfer RNA (tRNA) molecules are approximately 80 nucleotides in length. Their secondary structure includes four short double-helical elements and three loops (D, anti-codon, and T loops). Further hydrogen bonds mediate the characteristic L-shaped molecular structure. tRNAs have two regions of fundamental functional importance: the anti-codon, which is responsible for specific mRNA codon recognition, and the 3' end, to which the tRNAs corresponding amino acid is attached (by aminoacyl-tRNA synthetases). tRNAs cope with the degeneracy of the genetic code in two manners: having more than one tRNA (with a specific anti-codon) for a particular amino acid; and 'wobble' base-pairing, i.e. permitting non-standard base-pairing at the 3rd anti-codon position. The record is from RNAcentral. Lineage: Bacteria; Bacillati; Bacillota; Bacilli; Lactobacillales; Carnobacteriaceae.